RNAcentral lists this non-coding RNA (148 nucleotides) under Ralstonia pickettii 12J. RNAcentral's name for it is "sbcD RNA". It matches the Rfam family "sbcD RNA". Lineage: Bacteria; Pseudomonadati; Pseudomonadota; Betaproteobacteria; Burkholderiales; Burkholderiaceae. The record is from Rfam by way of RNAcentral. RNAcentral also lists the same sequence under 1 other name.
CCUGCGGUGGACGAAAGUCCUAAAUGGGUUGUUGUGCGGCGUGAACAUGCUGCACGAGAACGACUUUACGUUCUCCCCCCUGAGCGAAGUGCAUUGGCACGACGCUCCCUGUGAGCCACGCCCCCGAAAGGGGCGUGGCAGCAGGUUU